Molecule: long non-coding RNA, 255 nt
Organism: Tachyglossus aculeatus (Australian echidna)
Lineage: Eukaryota; Metazoa; Chordata; Mammalia; Monotremata; Tachyglossidae
Exons: 3
Source: RefSeq, a predicted model, not a curated record
UCCCUCCAGUUAUCACCUCCACCUCCCCCCAGCAGGAGUCCGUCUUGUUCUUCCAUCGCCUCCUUUCCACCCUUCUCUGCUCUCCCAAGACCCAUGUUGCCCCUGCUAGAUGCCCCAGAGAUCAGCUCCAGCAAAACGGGCUCCGGGAGCUGCUGGAAACCUAACUUGAGAGUUGCUCCGUUCCGGGGUCCAGGCAGAGCUCCGUGCAAGGCGAGGGGAGAAAGGUGAAAACUGGAGAUAUUGCUUGAAUAAAAU